UCCGGUAUGGUGUAGUGGCUAACAUCGCUCGCUCUCAAUUAUCCUUAUCGUGUAUUGUUACCGAGCAGCCCAGGGUUCGAUUCCCUGUACCGGAG
Molecule: transfer RNA, 95 nt
Filed under: Metarhizium anisopliae
Lineage: Eukaryota; Fungi; Ascomycota; Sordariomycetes; Hypocreales; Clavicipitaceae
Also listed under: 3 other names
Description: tRNA-Glu
Rfam family: tRNA
About the family: Transfer RNA (tRNA) molecules are approximately 80 nucleotides in length. Their secondary structure includes four short double-helical elements and three loops (D, anti-codon, and T loops).
Source: RNAcentral